Small nucleolar RNA from Sorex araneus (European shrew), 105 nucleotides. NCBI's taxonomy places the organism in Eukaryota, Metazoa, Chordata, Mammalia, Eulipotyphla, Soricidae. The record is from Ensembl.
AUUCUUUCCUGGUUCAUAAGCAUGAUGAUUGAGUGUUCACACGUUUCUGUUAUAUAUGCCUUCCUUAAAUCUUGUUACAAGUUUAGCUCAUUGUCUGAUGUGAAA